GCAGCAGAGGGCAGACUGUGAAGUCAGUGAUGCUGCAUACUUUGUGGAUCGGUUCACCAAACUGCUUCCAUAUCAUGAACCCCAAGACCAAGACCAACUUGCAGAGGAGUUUCAGGACUACCAGUUAAUGGAGGUCCCAAUGCCCGAACACCAAACGGAAUUUGACGUUGAGGCUUUCUGGGAAGGCAUGAGUUCACUUAAGAAUAGGGUGACUGGAAUGAGCAGAUUUCCCAGGCUGUCUGCAAUUGCCAAAUUAGUUUUAAUUCUCCCCCACUCCAAUGCAGAUGCUGAGAG
This is a long non-coding RNA of Neoarius graeffei (lesser salmon catfish), 294 nucleotides long. RefSeq lists it as uncharacterized. NCBI's taxonomy places the organism in Eukaryota, Metazoa, Chordata, Actinopteri, Siluriformes, Ariidae. The record is from RefSeq and is a predicted model, not a curated record. The transcript has 3 exons.